Long non-coding RNA from Apteryx owenii (little spotted kiwi), 1319 nucleotides. The record is from Ensembl. NCBI's taxonomy places the organism in Eukaryota, Metazoa, Chordata, Aves, Apterygiformes, Apterygidae.
GUUUAAUUAAAAAAUACUCUAGUUAAUCCCCUAGUUGCUGAUGAUUAAACCCACCAAAGAGGUGAUGAGGAAGUGGAAGCUACUGCUUAUUGAUCAGUGUAAUGGAUCUUUGUUCUAUUCGUAGAUGCAGAGCAUUCUGGAAACUCUAUCGGAUCUGUACCAGGCAGUAGCAUGGAACCUAGCAGCAUCGACAUACAUCACCUAUAGGACUGAACAAGAAAGGGGUCAGCAGAUGAAAUGUCACUACCUCAGAGACAGCAGCAUUAAUUAUCAGUGGCUGGUGUGCCAGGUAUUCCAGGGGUAUGGCCUUGAGGAGUAGCUUCUAGAAAGUGAUGCUAAAUGACUCUCAGCUCCUCAGGACUCCAGCCUUGGCAUCAGGACAACUGUCAGCGUUCUAACAGAGUUUGUCUUCUCGGCAUUGAUAUUAGCAAUGGGACUCUACCCAGGGUGCGAGUACAGGUAACAAAGCCUGAGAAAGUUUCUGGGAGCGGGCCAAGCCCCUCAGCAACACAGAGCUGAUCCCAUCUCUUCCUAUUCCUGAGUUAUGUUUCUCUCUGUACAUCUCCCUAACAAAUGAUUUGUCAAGAUUACUCCUUAGACCAUUUGUGAUAUGUAUCCUACAAAUUCUGUGUUGCUAUCUACUGCAAGUGAGUUUGCAGCCCUUUUAUGUCUGCAGGUAGCCUACACACUAUUGCUUAAUGAAACUGGGAGCACCUGACUUCAAAGGCAGAUGCUGCUGUGAAGAAGAAAUCAUGGCUGGGGGUUUGGAAAAAGUGGAAGGGUGAAUUUGGCAAGUAUCUUGCAUACAAGAGCAGUAGCUGCACUUGUUAUCAAUGCAGAUGUGAGUUGCUCUGCCCCCAGGAGUUGUAUCUUCUGCCACAAUAGAGUGGAGGGCCUUCAGUGUGCUCCAGGUCUUCCUUGCCCUAUUGUGUAAGGAGGAACAUUUUCAAAUGGUACUGCAGCCAGAACGUCACAGCGUGAAUCUUAAUGUGAUCAUGGUAAGGAUUUUGGAACAAGUUUUCCAUAUUGAAACAACCUAUUUAGUUGUUUUAAGAGCCAGGGAUAAUAGAAAUAUCCUCAGAGCUGGUCUGGGUAUGUGUACAAUUCAGAAGCAGUCGUAACACUGAUUUGUCUGCAGUGUAUAUUGCUGCAGUGUCCAGUGUUUUUGUCUAAGAACUUGUCUUCAUCAUAAGACACUGCAGAGUCUGUUAGAGCGCAAGGCAAAAUUUUGCAGGCUGCUGAGUGCAUUCUGCUUUCUGUAUGAGGGAAGCACCCUGACCAGUGUGAGUAGCUCUUCCUGUCCCUGUGUUGAACAAGCA